RNAcentral lists this ribosomal RNA (450 nucleotides) under uncultured bacterium. RNAcentral's name for it is "partial 16S ribosomal RNA". It matches the Rfam family "Bacterial small subunit ribosomal RNA", at positions 354 to 796 of the family's 1533-position model. The record is from RNAcentral.
GUGGGGAAUUUUGGACAAUGGGCGCAAGCCUGAUCCAGCAAUGUCGCGUGCAGGAAGAAGGCCUUCGGGUUGUAAACUGCUUUUGUACGGAACGAAACGGUCCGGGUUAAUACCCUGGGCUAAUGACGGUACCGUAAGAAUAAGCACCGGCUAACUACGUGCCAGCAGCCGCGGUAAUACGUAGGGUGCAAGCGUUAAUCGGAAUUACUGGGCGUAAAGCGUGCGCAGGCGGUUUUGUAAGACAGGCGUGAAAUCCCCGGGCUCAACCUGGGAAUUGCGCUUGGGACUGCAAGGCUGGAGUGCGGCAGAGGGGGAUGGAAUUCCGCGUGUAGCAGUGAAAUGCGUAGAUAUGCGGAGGAACACCGAUGGCGAAGGCAAUCCCCUGGGCCUGCACUGACGCUCAUGCACGAAAGCGUGGGGAGCAAACAGGAUUAGAAACCCCUGUAGUCC